GAUGAACGCUGGCGGCGUGCCUAAUACAUGCAAGUCGAGCGAACGGACGAGAAGCUUGCUUCUCUGAUGUUAGCGGCGGACGGGUGAGUAACACGUGGAUAACCUACCUAUAAGACUGGGAUAACUUCGGGAAACCGUAGCUAAUACCGGAUAAUAUUUUGAACCGCAUGGUUCAAAAGUGAAAGACGGUCUUGCUGUCACUUAUAGAUGGAUCCGCGCUGCAUUAGCUAGUUGGUAAGGUAACGGCUUACCAAGGCAACGAUGCAUAGCCGACCUGAGGGGGUGAUCGGCCACACUGGAACUGAGACACGGUCCAGACGCCUACGGUAGGCAGCAGUAGGGAAUCUUCCGCAAUGGGCGAAAGCCUGACGGAGCAACGCCGCGUGAGUGAUGAAGGUCUUCGGAUCGUAAAACUCUGUUAUUAGGGAAGAACAUAUGUGUAAGUAACUGUGCACAUCUUGACGGUACCUAAUCAGAAAGCCACGGCUAACUACGUG
This 497-nucleotide ribosomal RNA is filed under the name uncultured bacterium. RNAcentral's name for it is "partial 16S ribosomal RNA". It matches the Rfam family "Bacterial small subunit ribosomal RNA", at positions 28 to 507 of the family's 1533-position model. The record is from RNAcentral.